CCUUGCGCGGGUUUGCCCCGCCAGAGUAAUCCGGAAGAGGCCUCUUAUUAGGGCUCUGGUGGCGGCGGCGGCGGACGCUUGGGGUCUGGACGCAACGGCGGUGGGAGCAUGAACGCCCCUCCAGCCUUCGAGUCGUUCUUGCUCUUCGAGGGCGAGAAGAAGAUCACCAUUAACAAGGACACCAAGGUACCCAAUGCCUGUUUAUUCACCAUCAACAAAGAAGACCACACACUGGGAAACAUCAUUAAAUCACAACUCCUAAAGGACCCGCAAGUGCUAUUUGCUGGCUACAAAGUCCCCCACCCCUUGGAGCACAAGAUCAUCAUCCGAGUGCAGACCACGCCGGACUACAGCCCCCAGGAAGCCUUUACCAACGCCAUCACCGACCUCAUCAGUGAGCUGUCCCUGCUGGAGGAGUGCUUCCAGACGUGCCUGCUUCCCCUUCGCCUUCUGCCGUGAUCGUCAGUUUCCUGAGGCCUCCCCAGCCACGCUUCCUGUACAGCCUGCAGAACUUCUGGCAUGGAAAAGCCCCCGUGCAACUGGUAAAGAUAUCAAUAAGCACCAGGAGGUAUCUAAAUCCACCAGGAGCCAUAGGCAUCACGUUGACGUCCAUUUACCAGUCUUCCCUGGCAAGAUUCUUCUGAAUUGUGCUGCCUUGGCCAAAAGAGGACUCCUAGAAGGACCCCACCCCCCUCCCCCCACCCCUGCUCCUAGGAGGACAACGUGAUCACUGUAUUCAGCUCCAUCAAGAAUGGUCCAGGUUCUUCUAGAUGAUCUGCACAAAUGGUUCCUCUCCUCCUUCCUGGUGUCUGCCAUUAGCAUUGGAAUAAAGUUCCUGCUGAAAAUCCACAUCUCCCCUGGGUCCGGUGUUCUGGAAGUGAGAGAGACAAUGUCACACUUCAAGGAGGCAGCUCUCUAGACAGGAAGGUUAUUCACGUCCCAUGUCAAGUCUAGAGUUCAGAGCAAUUGAGAAAUGCAAUUUUAUCUGCUGCCUUUCAUUCUAUACCCUGCUUCUGAACCAUCGUGUUCAACUGUGAAACUCACACUUUGGUGACCAUGACUCCAAAACUCACUUAAUACACCCAAGGUCAGCCCCAGUGAUCUGCUUCAUAGCAAGGACUUUGGGUGGGUCUGCCCAGGGAGUAGGGCACCCUCAGAGAAUGUGGCUUUGGACUUCAUCACAGCUGGGGCCUUUUGUGUCACUUAAGAUCUAAACUUGUAACCAUGCUAGAUGUGUUUCUAAUGUGACAACAUCACGAACCACGAGUCCAGAAGCCUAAUCCUUAAUCCUACCUCCUCAUGAUGAAGUCUCAUGCUCUGUGCUCAACGUGGUUAGCUGCACAAGAUGUAAACCAAAGCUUCACUGAACCCUCGACCCAAAUCGGUAACUCAAGUGUGUCAAUCAUAAUGAACCUCCCCAAACUCAGUAUUUAUGAUUAUUUUUGAGGCAGGGUCUCACUCUGUCGCCCAGACGGAGUGCAGUGGCAGGAUCAGGGCUCCGUGCAGCCCCGACCUUCCAGGCUCCAGCGAUCCUCCUGCCUCAGCCUCCUGAGUAGUUGGGAGUAGAGAUGCGUCCCACAUCGCCUGGCUAAUUUUUGUAUUUUUGUGGAGAGGGGAUCUCGCCACGUUGCCCAGGCUUGAAGCCGGAUCAAGCAGUUGAGUUCUUCGGAUUUCCGAAACAGACCCCAGUAUUCUGCCUUUACCCCGGAGGAUGCAGAUGUACCUUCUCUCAGGCCGAUGACCUCAGGCCUCCACGGUCCCUGGAGCUCUAGGAAAGGCGAGCGCGAUCUCGUGCCCACACCCAGUGCUCUGGGUCAUAAGCCUGGAUCUGGAAAAACAAACGCCCUUUGAGAAGACGGGGACUCGCCAGGAUACCCCUCUCUCCCCUCAUCCAGCCUCCAGCCCACCCAAUUCCUCCCCACCUCCUCCACCUCCCCGGGCCCCACUCACCUCCUCCAACUCCUCCGGGGAAACCCAAGCCCUGCCGCUCAUGGAACAGAAGAAGUGGAACCGACGUUUCUGGAACAGGACUAUCUGAGAGCGGUUCUUCCUGGCCCUCGGGUUCAUGCAACGGCCUAACUGGAACCGACGCUUACGGACCAAGGGUAUGCGAGAGCGGUUCUUCCUGGCCCUCGGGUUCAUGGAACGGCCUAACUGGAACCGACACUUACGGAGCAAGGGUAUGCGAGAGUGGUUCUUCCUGGCCCUCGGGUUCAUGGAACGGCCUAACUGGAACCAAUGCUUACGGAGCAAGGGUAUGCGAGAGCGGUUCUUCCCAUACAGGAAGUGGAAGAUGUUUUGUUUGGAGUCCUCGUCGUCCUCCUCCAUGUCAUUGGCCAGGUAGCUGAGGACAGAAAUCAGGUUGCUGCUCAGGGGCACCACCAGGAGAGGCCUCUGGCUGAGGUCAGCUUCCCAGAGAGGAAGGUAAGGGACCGUCCCUAGCUCAGGACUGGCACCCACCCUGCAGAGAGCCAUGCCUUCCUCAGGAGGGCUCUGCUGGACAGAGACCUGAUCAAGGGCGUCUCCCACUCCUUCAGGAUGGAGACAAAAACCCAACUGGUGGCCGAGAGUGGUGGCUUACGCCUGGAAUCCCAGCACAUUGGGAGGCCAAAGCAGGAGGAUCACUUGAGGCCAGGAGUUUGAGAUGGGCCUGGGCAACAUAGCAAGACCCUCAUCUCUAUUAAAAAUAUAAGAAAUAUGCCAGAUGCGGUGGCUCAUGCCUGUAAUCCCAGCACUUUAGAAGGCUGAAGCAGAUGGAUCGCUUGAGACCAGGAGUUGGAGACCAGCCUGGUCAACACGGAGAAACCCCAUCUCUACUAAAAAUACAAAAAUCAGCCUGGUGCGGUGGCACACCCGUUAGGCCUAGCUACUCAGGAGGCUGAAGCAUAAGAAUUGUGUGAACCCAGGAGGCGGAGGUUGCAGUGAGUUGAGACUGGGCCACUCCAUUCCAGCCUGAGAGGCAGAGCAAGACUCUGUCUCAAUAAACAAACAAACAAACAAACUGUCCAGGUGUGGUGGCACAGCCCUGUAGUCGGAGCUAAUAAAGAAGCUGAGGUGGGAGGAUCGUUUGAGCCCAGGAUAUGGAGGCUGCGGUGAGCUAUGAUCUCACCACUGCACUCCAGCUUGGGGGACAGGGCAAGUCUGUCUCAAAAAAAUAAAAGAAAUUGAAUACAUUGAUAUUUUGCCAGGACCCUGCCUUCUACAGGCAUCUAGUCUAAUGGGACUGGGAGUAAUCAAGGCAGAUGACCUAAUCCCAGUGUCCAGGAUGUAACUAGAGAGCUACGGGCAUGCAGAAGUUGGAAGAUGAGGGAAGGCGUCACAGAGGCUGUGGGGUGAACUGACUUCAAGGAAUGGGUCCUUCCCUUCAGAGCCACAUGUGUGUGGGACACCCAGACAGAAAACACAAACACAAAGUCGAGUGGAGGGCAUUUGGAAGGAGCAGUGAAGCCGAGCCAGGAAAUACCAAGAUGGCGAGUCAGUGUGCUUGUAGAGAUUGUAGAGAGGGUAGAAUUGACACUGUGGACCCUGGCCUCGAUAGAGAAAGGCAUCAGCUAAGGAAGUUGUUCAGGUGGGCAGUGAGGUUGUCGUGCUUUGGAAAGAUGUUCAGGCUGCACUAGGAAGCCCCCUGGCUUGGGGAGAGACUCCAGGAGACCCCAGCGGGGAGCAUUUGACAGUGGAUUCGAGUGAUGCGAGGGGGACCUGAACUGUGGCCUCUGUCAUGGGAACCCAGAGGAGGUCGAUGGCGUUUGUGGUUGAUGUGGGAAGGAGAGAGAGAGAAGAACCAGAAAUGUCUGCUUGCUGGAGGAAGCGGCAUGUCCGCUCCUCCACUCCUUUUCUUUUCCCCUUAGGAGCGGUUUAUGGUUCUUUUUGUUUUAUUCUUUUAUUUGUACACUGGCAUUGGAGUUUGUUUUUUUGGCUUUGUUUUUUUUUUUUUUUUUUUUUGAGAAAAAGUCUCACUCUGUCACCCAGGCUGGAGUGCAGUGGCUCGACCUUAGCUUACUGCAACCUCCACCUCCUGGGUUCAAAGGGUUCUCUUGCCUCAGCCUCCCGAGUAGCUGGGAUUACAGAUGCACACCACCACGCCCAGCUAAUUUUUCUAUUUUUAGUAGAGACGGGGUUUGGCCAUGUUGGCCAGGCUGGUCUCGAACUGCUGACCUCAGGUGAUCCGCCUGCCUCGGCCUCCCAAAGUGCUGGGAUUACAGGCGUAUGCCACUGUGCCCAGCCUGAGUUUCUGUUUAGAAACAACAGUCUAUGAUAGUAUAAUCCUCUCUUUUUUGUACACAAAGAGGACAAAUAGGUGAAAGAAUAAACGAAAGGCUGGAAUCCCACUUCCCCCGCUGUCCCAGGGCAUUGGAUAUUGACGGAUAGGAGGCAGCAAACCACUCACAGAGCCAGGAAGAAAUGAAUGCGUUGGUAUAGCCAGGAGGGGAAGCCGGCCCGGCUGAAAUACGCUAUGACCAUAGCCAGGAGAUACUGAUGGAGAGAAAGGAACACAGAGAGGGAGAGGUCACAUCUUGGAAGAGGAAGAUUGUGGAGAGGGGGAAUGAGGGUCUGGGGAGGGGCUGCCCAUCAGAGAAGGGACCUCAGUGUUGGGGUGACUGUACUCAUUUGGAAAUUGCGGGAUGGAGGGGUAUUCGAAGGUCAGAUGCAAAUCCGAGAAGCCAGAGGAAGGGUUUUGGGUGAUGCUCCCAGGAUGGUGGGCUCCGAUGGGAUCUUUGGAGGGGGUGUGUCUAGGUCGGCUGGUGUCAGGAGGGUCUUUUGUGUGCCAGGCAGAGAACUGUCCCGAAGAGCUGAGAGUAGAGGGGCCAGGAGCUUCAGGGCUGCGGCCAGACUGUGGCCCAGAGCUCAGAUCCCAAAGGACCCAUAGGAGAGGCAGGGGCCACUCAUUCACUCUGCAAGAGACCAGCAGAAUCCUGAGGGAGAUGCUGACAAAUCAUAAAAAGACCAAGAAUAGCUGGGAGUGGUGGCUCAAGCCUGUGAUCCCAGUACUUUUUGAGAGGUGGAGACAGGAGGAUCAUGUGAGCCCAACAGUUCGAGAACAACCUGGGCAACAUAGUGAGACCCUGUUUCUACAAACAUUUCAAAAAUUAGUUGAGCAUGGUGGCAUGUGCCUAGUCCCAGCUCCUCAGGAGGCUGAGGAAAGAAGAUUGCUUGAGCCCAGGAAUUAGAGGCUGCAAUGAGCUAUGAUCAUGCCACUGCACUCCAUCCUGGGGAGCAGAGCUAGACUCUGUCUCACAAAAAAAAAUUUGUGGGUGCCAAGACUCAAGACCAUGGGAGCUGGUCGGGCACAGUGGCUGACAUCUAUAGUCUCAGCACUUUGGGAGGCCAAGGCGGGUGGAUCGCCUGAGGUCAGGUGUUCAGGACCAACCUGGCCAACAUGGCAAAACCCCGUUUCUACUAAAAACACAAAAAUUAGCCAGGCGUGGUGGUUCAUGUCUGUAAUCCCAGCUGCUUGGAGGCUGAGGCAGGAGAAUCGCUUGAACCCGGGAGGCAUCGGCUGCAGUGAGUCAAGAUCGAGACACUGCCCUCCAGCCUGGGCAACAGAGCAAGACUCUGUCUCACAAAAAAAAAAAAAAAAAAAAAAAAGACUGUAGGAGCAUCUGGUGGGAGGUGGUGGAGGGAGAACUGUGGGUUUGGAAGCUGCACCCUCCCCCCAGCCAUGCGUUGGAACAGGAACAGUUACAUGGAGAACAACCUUACCUUGUCCGACACCCUCAGAUCUUUGUCCCAGGCCAGGAAUCUUUUAAUGACAGGAUCCUCUGUGAUUAGAGAGCAGAUGUCAGUGUGAGAAGCAGGACAGGGUUUCCGUGGGAGCAGCAGGGCAGUGAGGAGAAGUGUGCCUCCCGGGGGGAGGUCUCAGGAUUGUGGCCGCGGGUGAGGUGGAUGGGAGAGGGGAGAAUGACUUUCACUGGGCAAGGGAGAGAGGCUCCUGCUCUGAGACUCCCCUGAGAAGAGGCCGAAGGAGGCCCUGGGUGUGAGAAUCUACAGGAUGUAGAGCUGGGAAUCAGCCAGGACCCCCUCCAGCAGACACGGAGGGACCACUGCAGAGUCAUAAAGGAAUUCCCAUCAUUUCCUCAUGAGACAGUCACAUCAGGGUGUGACCAUGGCCUUGGUAUCUCCCACUAUGGAUGGAGACACUUAGGUUUAGAAAAGUCAGUAAGAGACAUUAAGUUUCAGAGGGCACAGCUGAAACCACUUUCUUUGUUUAUUGAUUUUGUUUUUCUUUAUUUGAUUUUUAUUUUUAUUUAUUAAUUUAUUUUGAGACAGAGGCUUGCUCUGUGGGCCAGGCUGGAAUGCAGUGGCCUGAUCUUGGCUCACUGCAACCUCUGCCUCCCGGGUUUAAGCGAUUCUCCUGUCUCAGCCUCCCGAGUAGCUGGGAUUACAUGCAUGAGCUACUGUGCCCAGCCUUGGUUUUUCUUUUGAGACAGGGUUUUGCUCUGUCACCCAGGCUGGAGUGCAGUGGUGUAGUCAUAGCUCACUGCAGCCUCAAAGUCCUGAGUUCAAGCAAUCCUCUCGCCUCAGCCUCCCAACGUGCUGGGAUCUCAGGCGGGAGCCACUGCGCCUGGCCUGAAACCAAGCUUUCUUAUCCCAAGUGCUGACCUUUAUCAAGUUGACCUAAUCCUUUAUCAUCUCCUAAGUGUCCCUCAUGAGUGAUCACUUCACAUUCCUCCCACAUGGAGAGCUCACCCACUGGGGCAUAUUUUUCCCAUUGGAAAAGUGUGGUUAUUGGAAGUUUCCUGUUUUUGGAAAGAACAGGAUUGGAGGUGCUCUCUGGGGUGUCCUCCUACCAAGCAGCCUGUUGAAGGCCUCGUGGUGCUCAGGGAGCACGAGCGACACUCGCCGUCGCUUCAGCUUCAUCUUGAGGCCAGACAGCAUCUCCGCCACCCAGAUCUCCUCAGGCUCAGGGGCGAGCACCUUCCGUGGCUCCUCCUCCAACGACUCCUCAGAUUCGUCCCACCACUCCAUCUUCCUUUUCCAGCAAAAGGACCUAUGCAGGGGGCUGGGAUCUACCCCAGGGGCUGAGUAAAGAAACCAGGCCACGGUGUAAUGCUUCUGCAGUUGAUCACACUAGAGCCCAACCCAAAACCCCAAACCACUCUCCAUCCUCCCCAGCCUCGCAGACUGCUGGCUUCUCCAAGCCAUCUUUCCUUCUGUCUGUCUCCUCUGCUGAGCUCCAUGUGCCGCUCCUUCUUCUCCCCAUUCUCCCGUUUCUCUGUCCUCAGAACACUUCCUCAUAUCCUUCCCUGGUCCCUGACUCUCUUGAGUCCCUUUUUGUUGUUGUUGUUGUUGUUGUUGUUGAGAAACAGUCUUGCUUCGUGGCCUAGGCUGGAGUGUAGUGGUGCGAUCUUGGCUCACUGCAACCUCUGUCUUCUGGGUUCCAGUGAUUCUCCUGUCUAAGCCUCCCAAGUAGCUGGGAUUACAGGUGCCCACCAAAACGCCCAGCUCAUUUUUGUGCUUCUAGAAGAGACAGGGUUUCACCAUGUUGGCCAGGCUGGUCUCCAACUCCUGGCCUCAAGUGAUCUGCCUGCCUGGCCUCCCAAAGUGCUGGGAUUACAGGUGUGAGCCACUGCACCCUGCCUCAGUACCUCCAUUCUUCCCACACACCCUCCUCACGUGCUCCUUCCUGACUUCUGGGCCCUUUUUUUUUUUUUUUUUUUUUUGAGACAGCGUCUCACUCUCUCACCCAGAAUGGAAUGCAGUGGCGCUAUCUUGGCUCAAAGCAACCUCUUCCACCUGGGUUCAAGCGAUUAUCCUGUCUCAGCCUCCCGAGUAGCUGGGAUAGCAGGCAUGCCUGGCUAAUUUUUGUAUUGUUUGUAUAAAUGAGGUUUCGCUAUAUUGGUCUGGUUGGUCUCGAACAACUGACCUCAAGUGAUCCACCCAUCUCAGCCUCCCAAAGUAAUGAGAUUACAGGCAUGAGCUACCACACCCGGCCUUCGUUUUUCUUUUGACACAGGGUUUUGCUCUGUCACCCAGGCUGGAGUGCAGUGGUGCAGUCAUAGCUCACUGCAGCCUCAAAGUUCUGAGUUCAAGCAAUCCUCUUGCCUCAGCCUCUCAAUGUGCUAGGAUCUCAGGCGUGAGCCACUGCACCUGGCCCGAAACCAAGCUUUCUCAUCCCAAGCGCCAACCUUUAUCAAGUCUAGCCUAGUCCUCUAUCGUCUCCUAAGUGUCCCUCAUGAGUGAUCACUUCUGAGUCCUCCUGCGUGGAGAGCUCACCCACUGGGGGCGUAUCUUUCCCAUUGGAAAAGUGUGGUUAUUGGAAGUUUCCUCUUUUUUAGAAAGAACAGGAUUGGAGGUGCUCUCUGGGGUGUCCUCCUACCAAGCUGACUGUUGAAGUCCUUGUGGUGCUCAGGGAGGAUGGGUGACACUCGCUGUUGCUUCAGCUUCAUCUUGAGCCCACACAGCAUCUCCACUACCCAGGUCUCCUCAGGCUCAGGGGCGAGCUCCUUCUCCGGCUCCUCAGAUUCAUCUGACCGCUCCCUCUUCCUUUUCCAGCCAAGGGACCUACAUGGGGGGCUGGGAUCUACCCCAGGGGCUGAGUAAAGAAACCAGGCCACCGUGUAAUGCUUCUGCAUCUGAUCACCUUAGACCCCGACCCAAAACCCCAAACCACUCUCCAUCCUCCCCAGACUCGCAGACUGCUGGCUUCUCUAAGCCAUCUUUCUGAUUUUCUCCUCUGCUCAACCCCAUGUGCCGCUCCUUCCCCUCCCCAUUCUUCUCUCUCUCUGUCCUCCGAACACUGCUUCAUGUCCUUCCCUGGUCCCUGGCUCUCUGAGUCCCUCCUUUUUUGUUUCAUUUUGUUUUGACACAGAAUCUUGCUUUGUCACCCAGGCUGGAGUGUAGUGGUGCAAUCUCAGCUCACUGCAACAUCCAUCUCCUGGAUUCCAUUUAUUCUUCUGCCUCAGCCUCUCAGGUAGCUGGGAUUACAGGUGCCUGCCAUAAUGCCCAGCUCAAUUUUGUACUUUUAGUAGAGACAGGGUUUCACCAUGUUGGCCAGGCUGGUCUCAAACUCCUGGCCUCAAGUGAUCCGCCUGCCUUGGCCUCCCAAAGUUCUGGGAUUACAGGUGUGAGCCACCCCACCCAGCCUGAAUUUCUCCAUUCUUCCCACACACCCUCCUCAGGUUCUCCUUCCUGACCGCUGACCCUUCUUUUCUUUUCUUUUUUUUUUUUUUUUUGGAGUGCAGUAGCGUGAUCUCAGCUCACUGCAACCUCUUCCUCCCAGUCUCAAGUGAUUCUCCUGUCUCAGUCUCCUGAGUAGCUGGGAUUACAGGUGUGCACCACUACCACUUGGCUAAUUUUUAUACUUUUAGUAGAGAUUGGGUUUCACCAUAUUGGCCAGGCUGGCCUUGAACUCCUGACCUCAGGUGAUCCGCCCGCCUCGGCCUCCCAAAGUGCUGGGGUUACAGGCGUGAGCCACCACACCCGGCCCCCUUCCUUUGUCUUAGUCAAUCCUAUCCCACCUCUUCUUCCACCAGUCCCCUCACCUGAUGGUCCCAACACUUCAUCAUCCACCACCUCCUGGAGGGGGUAGCCCGAGGUGCUCCGCUGGGGACUCUGCUCAUUCUGGGGGUGCAGUUGACGGCUGGUCGUGAUCUUUCCUGUAAUCUGUCCCCUCUUAUGGAACCUAGUCUCCGUUCUGUCCAUGGCCUUCUUCUGGACACUGCUAGGAUCCAGAAGAGUAUGUUAUCAAUUCUCAAGCCUAGGAGAAGUCAGGAGUGUAGAACAGCUCUGAGAAGAUACUGUUGUCCAACUGAUCUCCAGGUGCCACGGAGUCCGGUCCCUCCAAUCAGGAAGGUCGGAAUCUCUGAUGUCAUCGUCCGUGCGAACCUGGCAACCAGUUUGAAAAAAAACACAUGUAACUGCUAGUCUGAUCUCUUGUCCUGGAGAUCCUGGGUGAAUGGUAUCUCCUGCCACUGUCCCAACCUCAGACCAUUGUCCAAAAGCAUCUUCAGGGACUCCACAUCCCUCUGUUCCCUGUCCCAGCAGAGGCUGUGUCCUCUCCACUCGAAGCCUGAAGCAUGUUGGGGUCUCUUCGUCUCUGUACAUGCCCAUUUCAGAGUCCAGUCUGGUGGGAGAGGGAACAGAGUGGGAAAGAAAACUAGGGUAAGCAGAAACGAUGAAACCUUAUAAGAGUGAGAUUAUCAUGUACAAGAGUGAGAUUAUCAUGUACAAAAGUGAGAUUAUCAUGUACAAGAGAUCCCAGGAAUACUGACUUGAUGAAAAAGUCACAUCAGAGCACUCAGUUUGGCAGAGCUUUUCUGCUGAAUGUUUACUCACAUUCACUGUCCGAGAUUCUAUACUGGGGGUACACACGUCCUCUGCCCUAAGGCAAUUUUGAGUCCAAGAGACAUUUUGAGGCCUAAAAAUCAUAGGAAACUGCCCCUGAGCUCACACAUAUUUCCAAUGGUGUCCCCAAUUUCAGGGAAUCCAUGGAUUACCUAAGCCAGCCCCUCCAGUUCAGCUAAGAAACUCUAGUCUAUAUAUCAAGUUUUGUAUCAUAUGUAUUGCUCUGAACUCAGAAAUUUCCCUUCCAUUUAUGGAUUCUAUGAAUAAAAUAUCACAUGUACAAAAA
RNA transcript from Gorilla gorilla gorilla (western lowland gorilla), 10570 nucleotides. It is a transcript of the gene named DNA-directed RNA polymerase II subunit RPB11-a, with no coding region annotated. Lineage: Eukaryota; Metazoa; Chordata; Mammalia; Primates; Hominidae. The record is from RefSeq and is a predicted model, not a curated record. The transcript has 6 exons.